UCCGUCCGUUUAUAUAUUUUUUUGUUAAGAUUUCAGAUCGAAAAUCUAUGUGUUAAGCUUCAUUUAAACAAAAAAAAAAUAAAUAAAUAAAUAAAAUGCGGGGAAGUUGAAAAAUAGUUACAGCAGUUCAAAAAUGAGUGCAAGCCACCAAUGACAUUUGUAAAGCUCGCUUCCAUUCUGGAAAUUUUGAUGUAGAAGAUCCACCUCGCUCUGGUCCACCUAUCGUUGCAAAAGUCGAUGAACCAGGACGGCCUCAUAAGCAACCAUGACAUCGCUAAGGAACUUAACGUUCAUCACCAAACGGUUGUGAACCAUUUAAAAAUAAUUUCCAUUACACUUAUUUAUUUAUGUAAUAACACUUUGAAGAAUUGUAGAAGACAAAGCUGUGAAUUCUGUGCGAAUAAAUUAUUUUUUUUAUUAUGAAAAGUUAA
Molecule: long non-coding RNA, 431 nt
Organism: Bactrocera latifrons
Lineage: Eukaryota; Metazoa; Arthropoda; Insecta; Diptera; Tephritidae
Exons: 2
Source: RefSeq, a predicted model, not a curated record